AAGGACCAGCGAUGGAAACCCUAGACUAUCGUUUCCCCAGUCCCGCCGCCGCACGCUCUCCCUCUCGCGUGCUCAUUCUCCCACCUCUCCACCUCCAAGCCCCUGCUUCCGCACGUCAUUCUUCUCCCAUCCUCGCGUCGCCGGUCUGGAGGCUAGAGCUUGUGGCCGACGCCUCCGCUCGCCAUUUGCCACGCCUCCGGAUCUGAACUCGCCCGCGGUGGCAGCGAUUGGUGGAUGAGAGCCGAGUCCUGAACGGGAAGCAGCGCCUGUCCCUGUCCCACUGCCGUUGGAGAGGCAAGGAUGGUAUCGGCCGUGCCGCAGCAGCUCGGCGGCUGCCACUUCUUCACAUCCCCAUCGAGUCGGCGAGUCGCCCUCUGUCGGGCCCACGGAAUCGGCUCCCAUGACUACACGUUCUUCCUCGGCCUGUUGUAAACCAUGGUUCUUCUCAAGCGCGGGCUAAGGUGGCACCAUGGCUCGUGCCAAGGAGGCAGCAGCGACCUGCAAACCCUGCAACCAGCAGUAACACGACAUUAUGCAGGCUGAUAUUUCUUCAGGGCGUGGCUGGACUCCCCUCCCAGGAUCUCACUCCACCACGGGGCCUUCCUGCUGUGAGCCUCUCUGGACGGGAGCUACAACGCCCGUCCCCAUCUCACCUUAGGCAAGAUAUGUGUAGAAUUUGGAAAGGACUUGCGAGCUAGGAAAAUUUGGGAAAGGACGUUGGGAAGAUAACUAGGUUUUCAGUGUGGAGGAACAUGACAAUUUGAACCAACUAAGAUGCAAGGGCAUGCUUCACAUGGAUUCAGACACAAUUUUUUUUGGGAAUAGAUGGUUUUACUAGCCGAUGGCAUCAGAGGAGCAGCUGCAAGCGCCGAGUGAGGAAUUUUCCUUUUGCUCGCAUGUGUCUUGUGGUCACUUGAAACAGAGCACUACCUCUGCUUGCAAGUGUCAGAACUACAGGUUUUUGGCUGAACAUUCAAUUGUGGCAAAAUUUUAUUGAUCCUCAUGAUUUUGAGAUCUAGUGUGCCUUGUUAGUUUGGAAUCAGAAGAUGCAUGCAUGCUGCAACCUUCCUGCUUAUCAAUUAAGUUCUCUGCAUCCUAAACUCGCUGACCUGGUAUGAUCCGUGUGAUUAAGAGAUGUUUCACCUUUUCUCCAUAACAAUUCUACAAUGCCCCACAAGAGGGAUCCACCACGCCGGUGGACUUCACUUGCCACUCCGGGAAGGGUUUUCACAUUCCAUUUCCAUCCAUCAGCUUUUCAGUUCUUGUUAGUUUUCACAUUUACAUUUCACCAUAUCGGGGAUUUAGAGGGCAGCACUUCUUUCUUGGUUAUAUUAAUCAGCCGCAUUGUUUUGUGAUUACAGAGAAGAAAUGACUUCAACCAGGGCAAAUUGAUAGGGAGGAUAGAUUACGGCGAACUGUCUAUGUCCCAAACAUUGAUCAACAUGAUGCUAAAUAGAAGCUUGCUCAGGUUUUCUCAACUUGUGGCCAAACCCUACUCAAGCAUCUACACCCUCUUCAGCGACCGACGCCCUGUCUGAUGGAAACGAGAGACGGGCGGUCGCUCUGCUUGAAAAGAGAGACAAACGGUCUCUGAGCGAGGGAGGGGCGGAGGUUCGUCUUUGCCGGCCGUAUGACAUUCCUGGUUGCUGGUGGAGGUGCAGGGCGCUCACCUGAUUUAGGGAAGGCACCGUGGCUGUUCGGUGAAGCGGGUUGAUGAAGCUGAUGUGCUUUGUUCCUAAAAACAAUGCAUCAUCAGUUCCUGGAAGAGUUCAGUACAUGCACGUGUAUAUGUUUCUCUGAUGCUCUCCUGUCGCGUUCUUACUCCGGCAGCAGAAUCUCAAGCAACUAUGGUUCUCGGACUAGGUGGCCCCUCUAUCUUCAUUUUUAUUCUCCAGUACGAUCACUUCUUUGACCCAACAAUUCCGUUGUGCUAUUUUCUUUCCAAUCUCAGAAUUGUACAGUUGGUUUUCAUCCUAGUUCUUCAGGCAAAAUUUGAAGUUUUGCUCCCAUUUUUGGUUUGAGGAAAUUUAACUUGCAAAGCUACCGCCAGGUGAAUUAAUUAGGUCCCAUGGGUUUGGAUACCUCAUCUCUUCACUGACUGCAUCUCUUCAUGUUUCCAGAUUGUGCAUUGGUCUAGAAAUACAUACUUAACUCGGUAAUGUGGACUUCACUACUGUGGUACACUGUAAAUGGCAAGCUUUUACAUGAAGCACUUUUGGUGAUCCUAAGGAUUUGCUACAGAAAAGUAUAAUAUGAUAUUGAGUUUCAUUCUCUUCCUUUCUGCAUUUCCUUGAAUAUUGUGCGUUCAAUUAGCUCAACCGGAUAGCAAGGUAUGUGUUGUUUCUCUGAUCCCAUAAUAUUGGAUUACCAGCUAUCAUCUUGAUUUUAACUGUACACUAUGGUGCCUAGGACGUAUCAGACACAAGUGUUGAGGCUCUAACAAAAAAUGUGAUUUGUUGCUUAUCCAUUUUAUAUUUUUGACUCUCCAUAGUUGUGCCCCUAAUUGCAUGACCUGUUUGCGGACAUGCCCAGUUAGCACACCUCUGCUUAUUAAACCGGUAUAAACAUAUUGUACUUUCUAAAUCUCUGUAUUUUAAUCAUUUUCUGUUAGCUACAAUAGUGCUCCCCUUAAAUAUAAAGAAGCCACACUUGAUGGUGCUAUUAGCGACAGAUGGCUAUGAGAUCCCUCAUCAGCAGUUUGAAGCAACCAUUAUCCUUUCACUCCAUCUAUGAUACUAGGGAUGGCCAUGGAUCUGACUUGGGGAACGUAUGACCUCUGCAAUUAGGAAAUGUCAAGGGUUAGCUCUUCUGAACAUAUUCCUCAUGGUAGAAAUGGCUGGUAUACAUGCCGACACGCCCAUCCGUGUGUUCAAGACUGGCUGAUUCACACCAUGGCUGGUAUACAUGCUAGGAUGCCUCUCCCUUCUGAAUCAUAAUUUCAUGAAAUGUUGUCAAAUGCAAAUAGUCAGUGUAUUCUUUUUGCUAUUCAAUUUUCACACACAUUUUCUUAUUGAUCUAUCCAGUCAUAAGAGCAGGUAUAUUUGUAUGAGCAUUAGAUUGUACUAACAUUUAUGGAAGUGACGAUGUUUUAAAUUUCUCAAGAAAUUAAUUUUGAUGCGCAGGCCAUUGAAAUAGUACCAUGAUCUGAAUUUUUAUUAGCAAUCACAUGUUAUACCUUGAUGCAAGUUUGGGAGGGUUGAAGCUAUUGGAUCCAGACGAGCUCCUCGUGUUCCAGAUUGCCAUUGAUAAAUUGUUCCAUGUAUCGGUGCAGAUGUGUACACACAAGCUAACCAAAAGGAGCAGAAAAGGGGUGCACACAACAUGUCUGCUCGUUAAUAACAAGUCAGGAGGGGGCUAUCCAAGGACGAGAAAGCUGGGAAGCUCGCAUUGCAGCUUUGGCUUAAGCUGUGAGCACUUUUUCGUCAGAGAAGCUGUAGUUUGAUGUUUUGGCCAAGCAAUGGGCUGUUGUACCACAAUGGUGUUCCUAAUUGUUGGCUCUUCCAUAUAGAAGCUCUGAAACAAAAUGAGAUGGCCUCAAAUUAAGGACAGUUAAACCAGCUGCUCCGAGAGGGGAUGUUGAGGAUAACGACAAUGACGAGCAAGUCGGUGUUUGUGAAGCUUCGCCUGAGCCAUUCCAGCUCUUCCAGAGGCACAAGGAGAGCCUAAAGUCAGGGUACGUUCAAUCGAGGACACUUGAUUCUCCAAGAAUUUGUUGAGGAUAACAAUGGCAACGAGCAAGUCGGCAUUUGCGAAGCUUCAUCAGAGCCAUUCCAGCUCUUCCAGAGGCACAAGGAGAGCCUAAAGUCAGGGUACGUUCAAUCGAGUACACUUGCUUCUCCAAGAAUUUGUAUAAUCAUUAGAAGUCCAAAGAAUGAGUCAAGCCAAAGAUAUGAAAAUGGAACACAUUUGCGCUCCUACGAGAAGAAGGUCGCGCAACUGAGGAUUCAGGACGCCAACAGUGCGGAGCUGUUCGCCAUUGAGAGGACCAGGGCUGCCAUCAGGGACAUCUGGACCAAGUUCAACAUCUCCCUUGCCUCCGUCAACGCCGGCGACCGACUCUACAAGCGUCUAGCUGUGCUUUAUGACAUGAUGAAUGCUGCCAUCGCUUGCUUUUGAGCACCUACAAGUUACCCUGUUGCAUGUAAUCUCUAAGACUGCCACUCAUCAGGCUUGCAUGCGCCUGUUAAUACCAGGGCUAUAACAACACUUUUAUGUGUAUAUACUCAGUUCUGCUUCC
Triticum aestivum (bread wheat) is the source of this 4237-nucleotide long non-coding RNA. RefSeq lists it as uncharacterized. NCBI's taxonomy places the organism in Eukaryota, Viridiplantae, Streptophyta, Magnoliopsida, Poales, Poaceae. The transcript is spliced from 9 exons. The record is from RefSeq and is a predicted model, not a curated record.